CCUACGGGAGGCAGCAGUAAGGAAUAUUGGUCAAUGGACGCAAGUCUGAACCAGCCAUGCCGCGUGAAGGAUGAAGGUCCUCUGGAUUGUAAACUUCUUUUAUGAGGGAAGAAACCGAUGGAUUAUUCUGUCGUUGACGGUACCUUAGGAAUAAGCACCGGCUAACUCCGUGCCAGCAGCCGCGGUAAUACGGAGGGUGCAAGCGUUAUCCGGAUUCACUGGGUUUAAAGGGUGCGUAGGUGGGCUUGUAAGUCAGUGGUGAAAUCUCCGUGCUUAACAUGGAAACUGCCAUUGAUACUAUAGGUCUUGAAUUUUCCGGAGGUUAGCGGAAUAUGUCAUGUAGCGGUGAAAUGCUUAGAUAUGACAUAGAACACCGAUUGCGAAGGCAGCUAACUACAGGGAUAUUGACACUGAGGCACGAAAGCGUGGGGAUCAAACAG
RNAcentral lists this ribosomal RNA (440 nucleotides) under uncultured bacterium. RNAcentral's name for it is "bacterial SSU rRNA". It matches the Rfam family "Bacterial small subunit ribosomal RNA", at positions 338 to 775 of the family's 1533-position model. The record is from RNAcentral.